Molecule: long non-coding RNA, 358 nt
Filed under: Homo sapiens (human)
Lineage: Eukaryota; Metazoa; Chordata; Mammalia; Primates; Hominidae
Description: HSALNT0118902
Source: RNAcentral
CAUAAGGUUCUAGAAGCUGGAUUUUACAAUUUUCCACUCAGAUCUACUUAAUCAGAUUAUCUCAAGGUAAGGUCUUUAGAAACUAAUAGAACAAGAAGUAACUGGAAAUCACUGACUGAAGCUGUCAGAAGUUGGUGCAGGAUAAAUUUCAAGUCACUGAUAAGAUGGAAUGUAGGUGAUAAUACUAAAGAAGACAGAAGACGGAAACUUGGAGAAAAGCCUAUAUUUUCAGAACUAAAAGAGGGCUUGGACAGAGGUGGAGGAAGAAGGAGUUGCAACUGCUCAGCUGUAUUGACAGCAGGACUGUAGGUUUCUGAAGAUCACAGAACUUAACUAAAACAACAUAUUUGUCAUAAGC